Molecule: ribosomal RNA, 530 nt
Filed under: Arthrobacter sp. 20
Lineage: Bacteria; Bacillati; Actinomycetota; Actinomycetes; Micrococcales; Micrococcaceae
Description: bacterial SSU rRNA
Rfam family: Bacterial small subunit ribosomal RNA
Source: RNAcentral
CGUGAGUAACCUGCCCUUGACUCUGGGAUAAGCCUGGGAAACUGGGUCUAAUACCGGAUACGACCAUCUGGCGCAUGUCAUGGUGGUGGAAAGCUUUUGUGGUUUUGGAUGGACUCGCGGCCUAUCAGCUUGUUGGUGGGGUAAUGGCCUACCAAGGCGACGACGGGUAGCCGGCCUGAGAGGGUGACCGGCCACACUGGGACUGAGACACGGCCCAGACUCCUACGGGAGGCAGCAGUGGGGAAUAUUGCACAAUGGGCGCAAGCCUGAUGCAGCGACGCCGCGUGAGGGAUGACGGCCUUCGGGUUGUAAACCUCUUUCAGUAGGGAAGAAGCGAAAGUGACGGUACCUGCAGAAGAAGCGCCGGCUAACUACGUGCCAGCAGCCGCGGUAAUACGUAGGGCGCAAGCGUUAUCCGGAAUUAUUGGGCGUAAAGAGCUCGUAGGCGGUUUGUCGCGUCUGCUGUGAAAGACCGGGGCUCAACUCCGGUUCUGCAGUGGGUACGGGCAGACUAAAGUGCAGUAGGGGAG